RNAcentral lists this long non-coding RNA (3560 nucleotides) under Sus scrofa (pig). RNAcentral describes it as "lncRNA (ENSSSCG00060035891.1)". Lineage: Eukaryota; Metazoa; Chordata; Mammalia; Artiodactyla; Suidae. The record is from RNAcentral.
GGAUUGAUGAUGGUAGCAGUGUGGUGGUGCUUUGUGCAGACACACCUGGAAAGGCAUCUGGAAAGAAAGCUGUUUUCGUGGCUCCCACUGCAUGGGGCUGCCUCUCCGCAGGCUCAGAGAAGUGAGCCCCCAGGACCAGCACAGCCUGGGGUGAGGAGCAGGCUUGCAGGGACUGAGGUGGAAGGAGUGUUUCUGGGCAGGAGCCGGUCUGCAGUGAGGGCGCCUGUGCCCGUAGGGCUGGGGACCUGCCCCUCCUCCAGCAGCAGGGGGCCUGAUCAGGUGACUGUGUUUCCUCAGGAUGGCCUGGCCACCCCAGGACCUGCCCUGGCGUUCCGCCCGCCUCUCCACGUCUUAGUCUGGCGCUUGGCUGUGGAUGCUUCCCUGGAUCCUCUCUGUGCUCCGCCUCUGCUUCCCGAGUUCAGGUGGCUUCAGGCCCCUCCCAGCCUCUAGCCCAGACCACCCCCUGUUUCUGUCUCACCCUGAACACUGCCAAGCUGGGUCCCUCCCCCACCCCCGCUCCACAACGUGCUCUGGAGGGAGCUGGUGGCAUGGCUGUCACUUGUCCCUGUCUAAUCUCAAGUCCCACUUGUUCUUCCCGCUAGUUCCCAGAGCUGCCUCUGCCUGCUUCCCCCGGGGCCCUCGCUGCUGUUCCAGGGUGUGGUGGCCCCUGUCUUGGCUGCCUGCCCACAGUCCCCCAUCUAGUCCGCCCUUCAGGCUUCCCAGCUGGGUUGCACUCCCUGCCGGAAGCCCUGUGUCACUCCCAGGACCCCCAGGAUAAGCCACACCCCCUCGUGGGGCUGGGCCUCCACUGCUGUCAUCACAUCUCCAUUCCUCCUGUUGGCACUUUUCUUCUCAUGGACCAAGUCCCUCAGGGCCCCAGGUGGCCCCUCUCCUGUGUCUCCAGGUUCCUGCAGGCCCCGUCCCCCACCUGGACGGGUCUGCCCUCUUCCUUUGCCUGAGCAGCCUCUCUCCAUCCUUCAGGCGUCAGCCUGCGGGCUCCUCUGGCGGGGUGGACACUCUGACGUCCCACUGUCAGAGCCUGUCGCAGCUCUUGUUGCCUAAUUACAGGGCCCGGGGCAGGCUCUCCGUGUGUUGGUGGGAUGCGAGAAUGAAUGAGGAUGUGAAGGAGUGAAAGAAUGGUUGGCAUGGCCAGGGACCUGCGGGCCCCCUGUGGCAGAGCUGGAAUUUCCGCCCUCAGCAAGUGGCUGCCGUGUCCCCCGCUGGACCAGCCUUGUGUUUGGAGCCAGGGCACAGUGGCCAACAAGCCAAGCAGGCCCUGCCCGCCUGGUGGAAGGCGGUCCACGACUCCUAGCGCAGGGCUCUUUCCAGCACGCCACGGGGCACCCAGGGCUGGUCCGGGACGUCUGGUCCCCUGCAAAGUGAAGUGGGAGCCAGGGCCCGGCAGCCCCAGGUGCUCUCGGGCACACCCCGAGGCCCCGCGUCACCUCAUCCUUCUCACCACUUGCUUUCUAGCGGCCGCGGCAAGAAGGAAGACUUCAGAGGCCGGCCAGGAGAGCACCGGACGCAGGAGAGGGCGCUGCGAGCGCUGGCGCUGGGGCCAGGGAGCUCACGGCCCCUUCCCCGCAGAUCUCGGGCCUGCCGCCAUCACAGGGGUGGCACGGAGGUCGGAGGAAUGCUGGCCCUGCGCGGGAAGCCAGGCUCGCUGUUAAGCAACAGCACCAGACCUCUUUGUUUCUCCGCUUCUUCCAAAGUGGCAAAAGAUCAAGGCCCCGGCUUGAAACAACAAAAGGGAAAUAGCUUGCAGGCGCGCAUCUGGAGGCCAGAAGAGGUUUUAAUGGCCCUGCUUGGGAGGGAGCUGGGGAGGGGCCUGAGCACGGAUCCCACACCCUUCUCCACAUGCUCAGGACUCGGCUGGGCAUCCCACCCGCCGCUCAGGCGGCACCCACCUGGCGCAGCGCCUCCUUUGUGACCUGGCGGGUGGCGACUUGCACGUCCGCUGCCCCCGCGCCCGCCAGCUCCUCCCUGCAGGGUCUUGGCCUGGGAGCCUUGCAUUUCUCUGUCUCUGACGCCCACGUCAAACCUCCCCAGGUCCAGCUCGGGGCUGGCUGAGGCCCGGGUUAAUGAGGGUCGGGGUUAAUUAGGGUCGAGAGUGGCGUCGUGGCGGGCCGGCCGGGCUGAGACGGCGGUCGUCAGGCCAGGCUGAAGAAAGGCCGCUCAGAGCCCCGCAGACGUUUCUCGCGGCGGAUGAGAUGGGCCUUCUCCUGGGGGACGUCACCCCACGGCCCGAGUCAGCGGGAAGGGGGUGCAGGGGUGUCUUCCCUCAGAAAAGGAGGCCCUCUCUCCCUCUCUCUCUCUCCUGACCCUAACGACGCUUCCGGAAGCCUCGGCAGGGAUGUUUGCACAGCGCAUGGUUCUCUGGGCUGAAGUUUUCCCCAGAAAAGCCCUGAGAAGGGAGCCCGCGGGUCCUGGAAGCGGGGAGGUGGGGCGGGCCUCCUGCUUCCUGCUCGGUGCACCGACGGUCCCCAGACAGCACCUGCUCACGCGGCGGCCGCGGCGCACACCACGCACACGGGCCACUCACCGAGCUUCCUUCCUCCACGUGUUGGGCACGGCCCACUGGAGCCACAUCUGUGCCCCACCCAGUGGUGUCCAGAGAAGCUGAUGUCGGGAGAUGCUUGGCGAGCUGUAGAAGGUCCCGGAGCUCGUCAGAGCCAGAGCUGAAUUUCGAAUCCAAACCUUCCUGACAACCAGCGCUUGGGCUUUCCAGAAUUCCCUGUCUCCUGAGAUGGCAAGCAAACGAAUGACCUGACCUGGUCCAAGUUCUGACUCAGGAAGCAUACUUCCCUGCAAUGCAGUUUGGGUCUCAUCACCUCCCACCUCAAACGCUGGCAGUAGCUCCCCUUUCUUGGCGGCCCUUUUGGAUGGCUGCAGUGAUGGAUGACCCAGGCCACCGAGGCUGCUCGGGGGCCCAGCCCUCGGUGGGAAGCCGACGUGGCAGAGGGAGGCAGAUGGAUGGGGCGCCCGUGUCCUCUGGCUCUGGGUGGGCGGGCGAAGCCAGGUUCCCGGGCUGUGCUGACAGGGCCUCAGGCCACUGCCCAGACUUUGAUUGGUUGGGUGCAAAUGAUCAAGGCAUCCUGUCCUGGACACCCCAGCUGGCACUGGGUGCUGCAGCUGGUGGGAGGGGGAGGAGGCAACACCCCAAACCAAACCCCAUCAACACCACGACCCAAGGCUGCCUGGGCAGGGUCGACCCUGGGUUCGGCAGAGCCAAGGGCCCUCCAGGUGGGCCUGAGCUGGAACGGGGGUGACCAGCCUUCCCAGCAGGACUCUCCCAGGAACCCAGUGCAUGGUGGGAUUUCCGGGUCAGUCUCGAGUUAGGAACCAGAAUAGCACCUUCCAGGACGUGACACAUGCAAAAAAGGCAGAGGCGUGGCCUGGGCAGGAGGAACUGGUGUGCUCGCACUGCGAAGACUGGAAGUAUGGGAGUUCCCUGGUGGCCUCGCUGUUAAGGACCUGGCAUUGUCACUGCUGUGGCAUGGGUUCCAGCCUGGGCCUGGGAACUUCUGCAUGCUGCUGGUGCAGCCGAAGGAAAAAAAAAA